CCCAAGGCUCUAUUCAGAGCCACUUUUGGGCAGACAACCUUAAUA
Molecule: non-coding RNA, 45 nt
Organism: Opisthorchis viverrini
Lineage: Eukaryota; Metazoa; Platyhelminthes; Trematoda; Opisthorchiida; Opisthorchiidae
Source: Rfam